RNAcentral lists this ribosomal RNA (632 nucleotides) under uncultured Porphyromonadaceae bacterium. Its description in RNAcentral is "bacterial SSU rRNA". It matches the Rfam family "Bacterial small subunit ribosomal RNA", at positions 85 to 715 of the family's 1533-position model. The record is from RNAcentral. Lineage: Bacteria; Pseudomonadati; Bacteroidota; Bacteroidia; Bacteroidales; Porphyromonadaceae.
UUGGUGGCGACCGGCGCACGGGUGAGUAACGCGUAUGCAACCCAUUUAUCAGAGGGGAAUAACCCGGCGAAAGUCGGACUACUACCGCAUAAAACAGGGACACCGCAUGGUGAUAUUUGUUAAAGAAAUUCGCUGAUAGAUGGGCAUGCGUUCCAUUAGGUAGUUGGUGAGGUAACGGCUCACCAAGCCGACGAUGGAUAGGGGAACUGAGAGGUUGGUCCCCCACACUGGUACUGAGACACGGACCAGACUCCUACGGGAGGCAGCAGUGAGGAAUAUUGGUCAAUGGGCGAGAGCCUGAACCAGCCAAGUCGCGUGAAGGAAGAAGGAUCUAUGGUUCGUAAACUUCUUUUGCAGGGGAAUAAAGUGCAGGACGUGUCCUGUUUUGUAUGUACCCUGAGAAUAAGGAUCGGCUAACUCCGUGCCAGCAGCCGCGGUAAUACGGAGGAUCCGAGCGUUAUCCGGAUUUAUUGGGUUUAAAGGGUGCGUAGGUGGUUUGAUAAGUCAGCGGUGAAAGUUUGCAGCUUAACUGUAAAAAUGCCGUUGAAACUGUCGGACUUGAGUGUAAAUGAGGUAGGCGGAAUGCGUGGUGUAGCGGUGAAAUGCUUAGAUAUCACGAAGAACUCCGAUUG